RNAcentral lists this long non-coding RNA (273 nucleotides) under Vicia faba (fava bean). Lineage: Eukaryota; Viridiplantae; Streptophyta; Magnoliopsida; Fabales; Fabaceae. The record is from RNAcentral.
AUGGAUCAUGAAAAAGGGUCAGAAACCACAGUUGUUGCUGGAACCAGAGGCUACCUAGCACCUGAAUACAUGGACACGGGCAAGGCUAGAAAGAAAUCUGACAUAUUCAGUUUUGGGGUUGUUUUGUUGGAGAUAGCCUGUGGAAAAAAAGCCAUACUCCACCAAGAACUGGAGGGUGAAGUUCCAUUAGUUGAGUGGGUCUGGGAGCUAUAUGGAUUGAGAAAUCUAACUGUAGCAGUAGAUCCAAAGCUAUGUGGGGGGUAUAUGAUGUGA